This 431-nucleotide RNase P RNA is filed under the name Paracraurococcus lichenis. Its description in RNAcentral is "RNase P RNA component class A". It matches the Rfam family "Bacterial RNase P class A". From Rfam's summary of the family: Ribonuclease P (RNase P) is a ubiquitous endoribonuclease, found in archaea, bacteria and eukarya as well as chloroplasts and mitochondria. Its best characterised activity is the generation of mature 5'-ends of tRNAs by cleaving the 5'-leader elements of precursor-tRNAs. The record is from RNAcentral. Lineage: Bacteria; Pseudomonadati; Pseudomonadota; Alphaproteobacteria; Acetobacterales; Roseomonadaceae.
CCAGGUGGCUGGACGGCCGCUGGCCGGGGAGCGAUCCCCGGCUGGAGGAAAGUCCGGGCUCCACGGGAAUACGGUGCCGGCCAACGGCCGGCGGGCAGAGGGUCGCCGCAAGCGGCCCGAGGCUCAGGGACAGUGCCACAGAGAGCAGACCGCCCGCCCACGCUUCGGCGUCGGCAGGCAAGGGUGAAAGGGUGCGGCAAGAGCGCACCGCGCCCCCGGCAACGGGGGCGGCAUGGCAAACCCCACCGGGAGCAAGGCCGAAUAGGGGUGGCCGGCGGCGCGCCUUCGGGCGCGUGACGCAAGGGCGUUCCCGCCCCGCCACCCGGGUUGGCCGCGUGAGGCGCGCCGCGAGGCGCGUCCCAGAGGAAUGGUCGUCCCAUCCCCGGGUUUCCGGGGGUGGACAGAACCCGGCUUACAGGCCGCCUGGCGCC